Long non-coding RNA from Drosophila willistoni, 535 nucleotides. RefSeq lists it as uncharacterized. The transcript has 2 exons. Lineage: Eukaryota; Metazoa; Arthropoda; Insecta; Diptera; Drosophilidae. The record is from RefSeq and is a predicted model, not a curated record.
UGCACUGAUCAACACUAGUUAUAUUUCCCAGCACUGACAGAAAGUAAAGGAAAAAAAAUAACAAAACAAAUGUGCAAUAAAAAUUCUGAAUUGAAGCAUCGCUGCGCAGUUGCUGGGCCAAUGCAAACGAAAUAAAUUAAAAAACGCAACAGCUAGUCAAGUGCCAAGAGCCGGGAAUUGAUUAAACCACGUAGAAUAACCGUCGAAAAAAACAAAAUUUUUAAAGCAGGCCACGGGUAAAAAAAAAUUUUUUUGUAGACGAAGAUGUGCGAGGCAAACAGGAAGAAGAAGCAUGGCAGCAAAGUUUUGUGCGCGAGUGCAACGCAACGAAAAUAACAUAAAACAAGAAUACAAGAACAACAAGAAAAAAGUAGUUAUAUACCAAGGAAAUGUACAAAAUAUAAAGGAGAUACAACAAUAACACCAGUAAUAACAGCAGCAGCAACAAAUUCUAAAAAAAUUCUGCCGACGUCUCGUCUAACGUCGCAGUCGACGUCUUGGUGUGAAAAGAGGUCAAAGGCGCAACACAGAAAAA